Molecule: ribosomal RNA, 744 nt
Filed under: Triticum aestivum (bread wheat)
Lineage: Eukaryota; Viridiplantae; Streptophyta; Magnoliopsida; Poales; Poaceae
Description: partial small subunit ribosomal RNA
Source: RNAcentral
AUGGACCGCUCGCCGCUGCUCCGCUGGCUGCUGCGCUUCAGAGGGUUCAGGGAGCGCCUCCUCGCCGACGACCUCUUCCUCGCCAAGCUCGCCAUGGAGAUGGGCGUCGGCAUGAUCGCCAAGACCGCUGCGGAGUAUGAGAAGAGACGGGAGAACUUCGUCAAAGAGAUUGACAUCGUCAUCGCUGAUGUGGUCAUGGCAAUAGUUGCCGAUUUCAUGCUUGUAUAUCUUCCAGCACCAACUGUGUCUUUGCAGCCACCACUUGCAAGAAAUGCUGGACUUAUCACUAGUUUUUUCCACAACUGCCCAGACAAUGCUUUCCAAAUUGCUUUGGCUGGAAGAUCAUUCUCGCUUCUGCAGAGGCUAGGAGCUAUUGUGAAAAAUGGUGCGAAGCUUUUUGCAGUCGGAACUGGUGCUUCUCUGGUUGGUACUGGUGUCACCAAUGCACUGAUCAAAGCAAGGAAGGCUGUUGACAAGGACCUCGACGACGAAGUUGACGAUAUUCCAGUGGUGUCAACUAGUAUUGCCUAUGGUAUAUAUAUGGCAGUUUCUAGUAAUCUCAGGUACCAGAUUUUGUCCGGUGUAAUCGAGCAGAGGAUGCUGGAGCCUGUAUUGCAUAACCACAAGCUGCUGCUGAGCGCACUCUGCUUCGCUGUUCGGACAGGAAACACAUUCUUGGGUUCUUUACUAUGGGUGGACUAUGCCAGGAUGGUGGGUGUUCAAAAGGCCGAAGAGGAGAUCUAA